Telopea speciosissima is the source of this 237-nucleotide long non-coding RNA. RefSeq lists it as uncharacterized. The transcript has 3 exons. NCBI's taxonomy places the organism in Eukaryota, Viridiplantae, Streptophyta, Magnoliopsida, Proteales, Proteaceae. The record is from RefSeq and is a predicted model, not a curated record.
UAUCUGGCAUUGUCACAUAAAGUCAGAUAAUAUGCUGGUAAAUGAGACAAAAAAUGUGUUGAAGCUUUGUGAUUUUGGUAAUGCCAUGUUUGCCGGAAAAAAUGAGAUCACACCGGAUCUUGUGAGCCGCUUUUACCGAGCUCCUGAAAUAAUUCUUGGCUUGCCAUAUGAUCAUCCCAUGGAUAUAUGGUCUGUUGUUUGCUGUUUAUAUGAGCUUUAUUUGGGGAAAGUCCUUUU